UACGAGGGGGGCGAGCGUUGUUCGGAAUUAUUGGGCGUAAAGGGUGCGUAGGCGGUUUGGUAAGUCUUGUGUGAAAUCUACAGGCUCAACUUGUAGUCUGCACGAGAAACUGCCGGGCUUGAGUGUGGGAGGGGUGAGUGGAAUUCCUGGUGUAGCGGUGAAAUGCGUAGAUAUCAGGAGGAACACCUGUGGCGAAAGCGGCUCACUGGACCAUAACUGACGCUGAUGCACGAAAGCUAGGGGAGCAAACAGG
Molecule: ribosomal RNA, 253 nt
Filed under: uncultured bacterium
Lineage: Bacteria
Description: partial 16S ribosomal RNA
Rfam family: Bacterial small subunit ribosomal RNA
Source: RNAcentral